This 502-nucleotide ribosomal RNA is filed under the name uncultured bacterium. Its description in RNAcentral is "partial 16S ribosomal RNA". It matches the Rfam family "Bacterial small subunit ribosomal RNA", at positions 30 to 523 of the family's 1533-position model. The record is from RNAcentral.
AUUGAACGCUGGCGGAAUGCUUUACACAUGCAAGUCGAACGGCAGCAUAGGUGCUUGCACCUGAUGGCGAGUGGCGAACGGGUGAGUAAUACAUCGGAACGUGCCCAGUCGUGGGGGAUAACGUAGCGAAAGUUACGCUAAUACCGCAUACGAUCUAAGGAUGGAAGCGGGGGACCGUAAGGCCUCGCGCGAUUGGAGCGGCCGAUGUCAGAUUAGGUAGUUGGUGAGGUAAAGGCUCACCAAGCCGACGAUCUGUAGCUGGUCUGAGAGGACGACCCGCCACACUGGGACUGAGACACGGCCCAGACUCCUACGGGAGGCAGCAGUGGGGAAUUUUGGACAAUGGACGCAAGUCUGAUCCAGCCCUUCCGCGUGCAGGACGAAGGCCUUCGGGUUGUAAACUGCUUUUGUACGGAACGAAAAAGCUCUUACUAAUACUAGGAGUCCAUGACGGUACCGUAAGAAUAAGCACCGGCUAACUACGUGCCAGCAGCCGCCGCAG